This 489-nucleotide ribosomal RNA is filed under the name uncultured bacterium. RNAcentral's name for it is "bacterial SSU rRNA". It matches the Rfam family "Bacterial small subunit ribosomal RNA", at positions 8 to 507 of the family's 1533-position model. The record is from RNAcentral.
AGAGUUUGAUCCUGGCUCAGGAUGAACGCUGGCGGCGUGCCUAAUACAUGCAAGUCGAACGAGGUGCCUUUGUAGCAAUACGAAGGUAUCCUAGUGUCGAACGGGUGAGUAACGCGUUGGUGACCUACCCCAAAGUGUGGGAUAACAGAUCGAAAGAUCUGCUAAUACCGCAUGUGGUCUUCGGAUUUAGAAACUGAUGACUAAAGGAGCAAUUCGCUUUGGGAGGGACCUGCGUCCCAUCAGCUAGUUGGUGAGGUAAUGGCUCACCAAGGCUACGACGGGUAGGGGACCUGAGAGGGUGGCCCCCCACAAUGGAACUGAAACACGGUCCAUACACCUACGGGUGGCAGCAGUAGGGAAUAUUGCACAAUGGGCGAAAGCCUGAUGCAGCAACGCCGCGUGUGCGAUGAAGGCCUUCGGGUCGUAAAGCACUUUUCUGAGGGAUGAGCAAGGACAGUACCUCAGGAAUAAGUCUCGGCUAACUACGUG